Molecule: long non-coding RNA, 657 nt
Organism: Sphaeramia orbicularis (orbiculate cardinalfish)
Lineage: Eukaryota; Metazoa; Chordata; Actinopteri; Kurtiformes; Apogonidae
Exons: 4
Source: RefSeq, a predicted model, not a curated record
UAGAUAGAUAGAUAGAUAGAUAGAUAGAUAGAUAGAUAGAUAGAUAGAUAGAUCAUACAUUAUACUGUCAAUAAGAGCAACAAACAACCUGAGAAAUGAGGCUAGUUUAGAUAGACUUUUCAACAAAAUUGUCCCGAUAUGUCAACUAUGUCUUCUGAGAAUAUCUGCGUUUUCUCUUGAUUUGAGGCACAUUGUGGAGAUUUCCGAAUGGUAUUGUGGGUUGAUUUAAUACAUUGGCUUCAGGUAAUGAUGCAGUCCACAAGUCUGAAAUGCCCAAACGGCACCAACAAAAGCACUCAAACCUCAUAGAAGUUUAAUGUUUCUACAACCAGCAUCUACUGCUAACUGUCUGUUCACCAGGGGCGACAAUAAGGAGGAACGAGGAGACUGGAGAGAUCUACAUUGCAAGGGUGAUCCAUGGAGGACUGGCCGACCGCAGUGGUCUUCUCCAUCCUGGUGAUCAGCUGGUGGAGGUGAACGGAAGUCCAGUGGUGGGAUUAGAACCAGAGCAGGUUAUCAAGAUACUGAUUAACUCUCAGGGUACAAUCCUGUUCAAAAUAAUUCCAGAUGCAGUUCAGUCCAGCAGCAGUCAGAGACCGGUGUUUAUGCGGGCCAUGGUGGACUACUGCCCCCUUCAGGACCCCUCCAUCCCCUGCC